RNAcentral lists this ribosomal RNA (497 nucleotides) under uncultured bacterium. RNAcentral describes it as "partial 16S ribosomal RNA". It matches the Rfam family "Bacterial small subunit ribosomal RNA", at positions 28 to 507 of the family's 1533-position model. The record is from RNAcentral.
GAUGAACGCUGGCGGCGUGCCUAAUACAUGCAAGUCGAGCGAACAGACGAGGAGCUUGCUCCUUUGACGUUAGCGGCGGACGGGUGAGUAACACGUAGGUAACCUACCUAUAAGACUGGGAUAACUUCGGGAAACCGGAGCUAAUACCGGAUAAUAUUUCGAACCGCAUGGUUCGAUAGUGAAAGAUGGCUUUGCUAUCACUUAUAGAUGGACCUGCGCCGUAUUAGCUAGUUGGUAAGGUAACGGCUUACCAAGGCAACGAUACGUAGCCGACCUGGGAGGGUGAUCGGCCACACUGGAACUGAGACACGGUCCAGACUCCUACGGGAGGCAGCAGUAGGGAAUCUUCCGCAAUGGGCGAAAGCCUGACGGAGCAACGCCGCGUGAGUGAUGAAGGUCUUCGGAUCGUAAAACUCUGUUAUUAGGGAAGAACAAACGUGUAAGUAACUGUGCACGUCCUGACGGUACCUAAUCAGAAAGCCACGGCUAACUACGUG